Hordeum vulgare subsp. vulgare (domesticated barley) is the source of this 124-nucleotide non-coding RNA. The record is from Rfam. NCBI's taxonomy places the organism in Eukaryota, Viridiplantae, Streptophyta, Magnoliopsida, Poales, Poaceae.
AAAAUACUACCUCCGUCCUAAAAUUCUUGUCUAAGAUUUGUGUAGAUAUGGAUGUAUCUAACACUAAAACUUGACUAGAUACAUCUAUAUUUAGACAAUAAUUUUAGGACGGAGGGAGUAUUAA